Epinephelus fuscoguttatus (brown-marbled grouper) is the source of this 1076-nucleotide long non-coding RNA. RefSeq lists it as uncharacterized. NCBI's taxonomy places the organism in Eukaryota, Metazoa, Chordata, Actinopteri, Perciformes, Serranidae. The transcript has 2 exons. The record is from RefSeq and is a predicted model, not a curated record.
GCACAGAGGGGAGGAGAUAUUCAGUGAACUGUGGCUUUAAAGUGCAGGUAACUAUAGCAACAGUACUGACAGCUCAGUUUUCUGACUGGUGAAACUAAAGCCUGGUGCAGAAUACAAGACUUUGUAAGAGACAGAGUUGUUGCGCAGCUUUUGUCCCAGGCUGUGAACACGUUGACGUGGAGGCGCACUGAUGACACAGCAGAUCUUAGAUGAGGUGUUACUGAUUACAGCGUUCACGAGUGAAGUGUACGAUGAUGAUACUCAAUGAAAAACAGGUUCAAUAUAGCCGCCUGUGGAUGCUCUGAUGUUAGACAUGAUCAACUUGUCUUUGGUUAGCAACUCGCUGUCUGAUAAUCCAGGUCGGUUCAAGAGUUGUUUGACCUGAGUGAUGUGCUGAGAGUUGCAGGGUUAAUCUAUGAACUGCUUUGGCUGACUGUUACCUUCAAAAACAUGACAUCAAAAGCCCCAAACAAACAUUCCCUAAAAAACAGGCCUUUAGAAAAAGGAGAUACAAAAAUCAUCAGAGGUGCUGCCAAAUUAUUGACAUCAAUAAAUGUUCCUUCUUGCAAAGAGAUCAAUACAGAUACAUCAGUGAUCAGAUGAAAUGCAGUCAGAUUAUCCCUGCUGAUAUAUCCCAGGUCUAGAUUCUUCUGUAUCUUUGAGUUGAACUCUUUAAAUGAACAAAAUGUCUGUCCAGUGACAAAGCAAGCUUUAAAACCUCAGUAACUCUCUGACUCUGUACAAUAACAUGUUUAAAACUUGUGGUGUUUCACUGUGUUUUCUGUCAAGUUUGUUAAAAUAAGAAUCAUAUUUUAUAUGUUUUUACUAUUGAACCUUAAAUAUGUUGAGUAUUGUCACAACUUAUCUGUGUCAUUAUAAACAAAUGAACAUGAGAACAUGACGUUGAUGAAGCUUUGAUGUUCCUGUGCUUUGCUACAUGCCAAAUAUGAGUGGAUGCUUUACUGAUUUCAUUCAUUUAGAUCAUAAUUCAGACCAAUCUGUAAUCACAUGUUCUGUAUUUGAUCUUUUUCUUUCUCUCAUUAUAAAAGAUGAAUAAAGUGUGUCUGUGUAGUUCA